RNA transcript from Nicotiana tabacum (common tobacco), 1753 nucleotides. RefSeq lists it as uncharacterized. The record is from RefSeq and is a predicted model, not a curated record. NCBI's taxonomy places the organism in Eukaryota, Viridiplantae, Streptophyta, Magnoliopsida, Solanales, Solanaceae.
UAAAUUGGCUUAAAAGCUAGAUAUUUUUGACCAAGUAUAUUACAUUCUUAUCCCUUAUUAUUAUUUUUAAUCCCAAAAUUACCCCUUAGUAAAAAAAACACUAAAACAUACUAUUUUUCUUAAUCCCGAAAUUAUCGCUCAAUAAAAAAAACCCUAAAACAUACAGUCUCUUUUUCUUUUGUCCAUUCUUGUUGCAGCGUAUGCGUUCUUCUUCCUCUGCGUUCUUCUUCCUCUUCUUCCAUAACUCUCCCCAACUUCAACUCCAAUUUGAAAGCCUCUUCACACUUGGUCACAAUAUGCCAUACCAAGGAGUUAGUGUGAGCAACUUCAGUCUUAGCAACUUCAGCCUUGGCUUCUUUCUCUUUUAGGCUGUCAAACACAAGGCUCUCUUUAUGCAACUUCAGUCUUAGCUUCUUCGUUGUUCUGCUUUCUUCAGAUUAUUUACAUUCAAUAAUGCCGGACAAUGCUAAAUGGGACGAUGAUACACAUAUUAUAUUUCUUGAGUUGUGUGAGCAAGAGGUUAGAAAAGGAAAUAGACCAAACACUUACUUAAAUAAAGAUGGGUGGAAAAGUAUUGUUGACGAGUUCUGUAAGAAGACGGGAAAAGACUAUGAUAAAAAAAUGAAAAAUCAUUGGGAUUACAUGAAAGGAGAAUGAACACUUUUUAAGCAGUUGAUGAGAGGGGAGACGGAGUUAGGAUGAGAUGCCACGAAAAAUACGAUUAUGGCAGAUGAUGAUUGGUGGGAUCGAAAAAUUAAGGAGAAUGCAAAAUAUAAGAAAUUUAGGAACAAAGAUCUUUCGCUCAUAUGAUUUUGCUACGAUGCACUGUUUGCGAUGUUGUUACCAUAGGAGAAAGAGCACGUGCAACAAAUCAAGAACAAUUAUCGGGCAUAGGACUUAAUCUUGACGAAGAAGGAAUAAAUGUCAUUGGUGAUUAUGACAAAGAACACUUUACUCAUCUUAAUAAUGAAAUGAGCGAUGAUCUACAGAAUAUAAAUUUUGUUAUGUUUCCAGAGCCAUCACUAAAAAGACAAAAAUCAACUGAUGGUGUUAGCACUAGAAGUCAAGUAAGAAAAAGUAAGAAAAGAACAGCUGCAACAUUAAUAAAAGAAGAUAUACACUCUCUCAUAGAGUUUAUGUCUAGCAAAAGCACUGCUACAUCUCCUACAGUUGAUGAAACAUCCAUCGAGAAGUGUAUUGGCACGUUGGAACAAAUUCCUGAUAUUCUAGCUGGGAGUGAAAUUUACAGUUUUACUAUGAAUAUGUUCCGCAAAAAAAAAUAACCGACAGAUAUUUUUGGGGAUGCCUACUAAUGAAGCUCGCAAGAAUUGGUUGGAGUUUAACUAUCAGUUAUACCUCAAGAAAAAUGAAUAGUGUAUCGUUGUGAUUGAGUAUUUCUAUUAUUCCGUGUUUGAAUAUUAUGAUUGUAUAUGUAGACGUUAUUAUGAUUUUAUGUGUAAAAUUUAUAUUGCUUCUUGUUUAGACAUUGGGAUUGUAUCACUAAACUCUUAUUAAAUUAAAACUUAUGUUUGUGGUAAACUUUAUGUUUGAAAGCGUUGGUUCUAUUGUUAAGCUUAUAUUGUUAAACUUCUGUUUGGUUCUGUUUGUGGUAAGCUUAUAUUACUUCUAUUGUUAAGCUUUGGUAAACUUUUUGUUUGAAGGACUCUUCAGUACAUAAAGAAGAAUUGAAGAAAGCAUAUGUUUGAAAGCCUCUUCAGUACUAUUUAGAAAAGCAUAUUGCUAAACUUUAUGU